UUCGCAGGCAACUUCUCAGCAGUAGCCGUUUCUCCCACGGAAGACUAGGCCAAGGACCUCGAUCCGUGGCGAGCAUCGAGGUGCUGUCAUCGUUGUUCGGUGCGGAAGGAGUGUGGUCUGCCGUUCUGUACAGGACCAUCCAACACUCUGUUGAUGUCGCCCUCUCCUCGCAUGGCCGCCUACCAAGGUGAGGUCCAUCUCCUGAACAUUCCUCCAUCGGGUCUGCGUGGCUACUCGAGGAUGCAUCACCGCAAUUGCCGUCGGUGUCAAGCUUGGAGGGAGCCAUUCCUCUUGGCCCUCAUCUGCCUCGCCCUCGCGGCCCGUGGCCCUGCGAUCCUCUGGUCCUGCUCACGGGCCCCACGUCUUCCCUUGAGACGAGAUGAACCGUGCCUGCCUAGAGUUUUUGCCACCAUUGGAGAGAGGCGGAGAACAGAACCAGACCGAGACGACAGUGUGCUGGCCUUUCGAUCUAUUUCUCAGUUUGAUCUCUACUCGAGCAAUGUUUGUUAACUGUGUGGGUGUGGCUGACGCUCUGCUGAUGAUGAUUUGGCAGGCCGAUAGGCUACUUGGGAAACUCCUCACCAUGGGCGGCAGGACCAUGGUACAGCCGUACAGGCCUUUGCCAAGCCAUCGUCAUUUAUAGGAGCACGGGACAGAGGAGCGGAGGCCUGGGACGCAGCACGGGGCAGAGGAGCGAUGGUGCGGCGGUUGCGCAUGUGGAAUAUUCGUGAGGACAAAGCGGUAUGAAGAACUAACUCUACCAGGGAACAUCAUGGAUAUGGAGAUGGAGCACCCAUGCUUUUCAUACAUAUAGAUACUGAUACUGUCAGGUUCCGGGGAAGGUAAUCAUUGUCAGUGUGCAAUCUAGAAGUUGAAACUGUGAUUGAAUACAUAGUAAGGGCUUCUGCAUCAUAGUUACUAUGACUUACCACAUGGAUUGGCUUUCCUGUCUCCUAGCUUCUGUCUGAACUUCUUGCACUCAUCUUGACAAGGAUUUGGAUGAACGGUAUGUCAAUGUCAACCUAGAUGAUGUUGACUUCUUCUGCAUUGAGCAUCGUCAUCAAGCUCCAAGAUCCAUAUAGCUCACAGGUUAGAAGAAAUAAGAUCGACCUUCUGCAAAAAAGAACAUGAAUUGUGCUAAGUUGCGAUGAUGUUGAUGGGAGAAAUUAUUCAUGACAAGUAUCUCGUAAUUACAAGUUUUUCUUAGACUGUUGUGUUACAUGUCUGUAAUGUGAUAUGUUGAGAUAUCGCAAUCGUGGGUUGCUAUAUUUUCACGUGGAAGGUUAUCUGACGAAGCUCUAUGCUUCAUGUAUGCAAGCUUUCCACCAGUAUUAGUUUUAUGUAUAUUCAAGUGUUGCACCAACUAUUAUGCUCUCUUGCAUUUAUCCAAUUGAUAAGAACUUUAUGUUGGGUAUUGUCAAUACAAUGCUCUG
This is a long non-coding RNA of Triticum aestivum (bread wheat), 1433 nucleotides long. RefSeq lists it as uncharacterized. The transcript is spliced from 4 exons. The record is from RefSeq and is a predicted model, not a curated record. NCBI's taxonomy places the organism in Eukaryota, Viridiplantae, Streptophyta, Magnoliopsida, Poales, Poaceae.